GGUCUUCAUAGCUCAGUUGGUUGAGCCAUAUGUUACUAACGCAGAGGCCAUGGGUUCGAAUCCCGUUGAAGCCC
Molecule: transfer RNA, 74 nt
Filed under: Acropora cervicornis
Lineage: Eukaryota; Metazoa; Cnidaria; Anthozoa; Scleractinia; Acroporidae
Description: tRNA-Ser
Rfam family: tRNA
About the family: Transfer RNA (tRNA) molecules are approximately 80 nucleotides in length.
Source: RNAcentral